ACUUUCUACUGUGAGCUUUUUAAUGAUAGACAAAGAAUUUGGCUUCAUUAUAUUAUUAAUCAUCUUACACAUUUCUAUAUGUAAAGAUUGUCCUACCUUUAUGUAACUUCUGGGGAAGGUGGUGUCAUCACUUCUGACAUGAUUGAAAUGAUAUUUUCCAAAAGCCCAGAGCAACAGCUUUCAGCAACACAGAAAUUCAGGAAACUGCUUUCAAAAGAACCUAACCCUCCUAUUGAUGAAGUUAUCAGCACACCAGGAGUAGUGGCCAGGUUUGUGGAGUUCCUCAAACGAAAAGAGAAUUGUACACUGCAGUUUGAAUCAGCUUGGGUACUGACAAAUAUUGCUUCAGGAAAUUCUCUUCAGACCCGGAUUGUGAUUCAGGCAGGAGCUGUGCCCAUCUUCAUAGAGUUGCUCAGCUCAGAGUUUGAAGAUGUCCAGGAACAGGCAGUCUGGGCUCUUGGCAACAUUGCUGGAGAUAGUACCAUGUGCAGGGACUAUGUCUUAGACUGCAAUAUCCUUCCCCCUCUUUUGCAGUUAUUUUCAAAGCAAAACCGCCUGACCAUGACCCGGAAUGCAGUAUGG
Molecule: small RNA, 582 nt
Filed under: Pongo abelii (Sumatran orangutan)
Lineage: Eukaryota; Metazoa; Chordata; Mammalia; Primates; Hominidae
Description: processed transcript
Source: RNAcentral